UGGGAAUCUUCCGCAAUGGACGAAAGUCUGACGGAGCAACGCCGCGUGAGUGAAGAAGGUUUUCGGAUCGUAAAACUCUGUCUUUUGGGGCGAACGUGAGUAUGGUGAACAAUCAUAGUCAGUGACGGUACCAAAGGAGGAAGCCACGGCUAACUACGUGCCAGCAGCCGCGGUAAUACGUAGGUGGCAAGCGUUGUCCGGAAUUAUUGGGCGUAAAGAGCGCGUAGGCGGGAUAGUCAGUCUGUUGUAAAAGUGCGGGGCUCAACCCCGUGAUGGCAAUGGAAACAGCUAUUCUUGAGUGCAGGAGAGGAAAGUGGAAUUCCCAGUGUAGAGGUGAAAUGCGUAGAUAUUGGGAGGAACACCAGUGGCGAAGGCGACUUUCUGGACUGUGUCUGACGCUGAGGCGCGAAAGCCAGGGGAGCGAACGGGAUUUAGAUACCCCGGUAGUCCUGGCCGUAAAACGAUGGGUACUAGGUGUGGGAGGUAUCGACCCCC
Molecule: ribosomal RNA, 495 nt
Filed under: uncultured bacterium
Lineage: Bacteria
Description: partial 16S ribosomal RNA
Rfam family: Bacterial small subunit ribosomal RNA
Source: RNAcentral